RNAcentral lists this long non-coding RNA (3750 nucleotides) under Mus musculus (house mouse). RNAcentral's name for it is "long non-coding RNA chr6:46785952-46789702". The record is from RNAcentral. Lineage: Eukaryota; Metazoa; Chordata; Mammalia; Rodentia; Muridae.
ACAAAUUCUAGAAAGAAUGUCUGCCUGGAAUUUGCAUAAUAUGAGCAAUAUGCACUCAGAUGCCAGGUAGUGGCCCAGAUAUAUAUGUGGCCCAGAUCAUCUGAUUAAGAGGUACUAUAGCAGAAGAGGAUAUCUUACAAAGAAAUUGCCCAAUGAACCUAUACACUAUCAUUUUGGUCCCUUAGUUCUGCAUCUUGGUGCCCUUUCUGGAUUGGAUAUAUCUCAAUUCUCUGAAUAUUAAAAGACAACUUCAGACUUAACCUCUAAGCCUCAUUGAGGUAUGUCUUAGUUUGGAUUUUAUUGCUGCAAACAGACACCAUGACCACGGCAACUCUUAUAAAAAUAACAUUUAAUUGGGGCUGGCUUACAGGUUCAGAGGUUCAGACCAUUAUCAUCAAGGCAGGAGCACAGUAGCAUCCAGGCAGGCAUGAUGCAGGCACAGCUGAAAGUUCUACAUCUUCAUCUGAAGGCUGCUAGUGGAAGACUGGCUUUCAGGUAGCUAGGACUAGGAUGUAAAAGCCCACACCCACAGUGACACACCUACUCCAACAAGGUCAUACCUCCCAAAUAGUACCACUCCCUGGGCCAAGCAUAUUCAAACCAUGACAAGGUAUUAAUGACUGCCUCGAUUGUGCUCCUGUGCCCGGGAUUUGGAGAUUGAUAUUUCAAGCAUGAUCCUCUAAACAAGAAUUUAGAUUAUAGUGUCUUGCUGCCCUUUAAAAUCAUACUGGGUGAUAGUGACAAUAAAAGCAGUUAACAAGCACCUGUAGUGUAUAUAGUACCCCAAAUCCUAAUUGUGGUUAAUAGUACAGGCAAUCCUCAAAGCAAGGUCAUUUGCAUUUCUCAGGCAAGGGAGGGGAGUCCCAGGGGAGCAAGUCCUUUUCUAUUCUUCUCACAGCUCUAAAUUGGCUGCUAGGUUGUGCCCCCAUAUCUGACACACGAUAACACAUUUAAACUAGAGAUGGGAACUGUGAGCUGUCAUUUUUGGUUUCUGUUCUUGCAUCAAAAAUCAUUUUCUGAAAUCAGUAUCAACUGUCACCACUCGCAAAAAUAUGGUUACGAGCCAAGUAUCCUCAUCAAAUACUAAGGCUUCCUCUGUCCUUAUCUGUAGUAUUUAUAGCUUGUAGUAAUAGAAUCAAUUAUACAAGUUCAUUUCUAAACAGUAUAAAAAGUAAGCAUUGGUGUACCAUAGUGCAAACAUAUCAAUGCAAAAAGAAAAAUAAGUAAUGUUGUAAGUUUAACUUCCUCUUUCCCAGAGAGGAACAAGAAGCCCAACUGGUACCUGGGAUUCCUGGAGUGCCUCUGCACCUCACCUGUAAACUCAAGUCAGUGACUUUACAAUCACCCUGAAAACUCCCUCCAACCCUUCAAGGUUCAUAUAUAGCCCUUGUCAACCCCAAAUAAAGUAUAUGAAUACAAGUCUACCCCAAGAUUCUCUAAGAGAACUGUUUCCUUAAAAUUCCAGACAAACACCCCUGAACAAUCUGAUCUGGGAUCCUAAUGACCCCACUGGUCCAGGCCUCUUCUAGCCUGGACCAAUAUCCUCCCAGCCAGGUGUGCAUUAGUGCCUGAACAUUCUAAGGGAGGAAACAGAGGACAGAACCACACCCUAACAAGCACGAGAUCUAGAAUUCUGACCCUUAAAACUGUUGUAAAUAUUGAUAGACUUGGUGGCUGGCAUGUAAUUCUAGCCUUGGAAAUGAGAGACAGGGAGCCCCAGAGCAGGUUGGCUAGCAAGACCAGUCCUACUGAUGAACCUGAAGUUUUAUUAAAAUACCUUGCCUCAAGUAAUUAAGUGGAAGGACAGUGGGAGAUGAUUGUCAGCAUCAGCCUCAGGCCUAAACAUGCGCUGACAUAUAUGUCCAUGUGCAUAGCCACUCACAUGCACAGCAUGCAUACAUACACACAUGCAUACUACAUACACAUAUACACACAUAUACACACAAACAUAUGGAGGAGAGGGGGUGGAACAAGAGAAAAAUUAUUUCUAUCCAGAUAAAUCCAGAGCACCUCAAUUCAAAACAGAAACCCAAAUAUAUUUUAUGUGAAUCUUUAAAACUACCAUAGCAAAAUGCAGUAAAACCUUUGGACAUAUGAGAAACAAGCCAUCAAGGACAUAUUCAUAAACUUGACCCUAUAAAAAUUUAAAUACAAAAGUCACAUCAAAGAUACCAUAAUAGGCAAAGUUAAAGCAUGAAUAAUAGGUUAGAAAAGGAUAAUUAAAUGACAAAAGAUCAUUAUCCAGGCUAUUGUAGCAAAUUCACAAAGAUGACAAAACAAAAGAGGGAAACACUCAAAAUAUGAGUUAGAAAUGGGCUAGGAUGGUUAGGUUUAAGAUGCUUAGAGGAAUAUUUUCAUUCCAUGACCAUGUUUGUGUUCCCACCAUCAUGCUGUUUUUACUAUGUUUCUUCCUGCUUUUAGUCCUCCUGGAGUUCCUGUGGGAAUGACUGCCUAGAGAUAACUGAAUUGAUUAAUCUGCAUCAUAUUCAUGUGAAAACAAUCACAUUCUUGCAGCCAUCAGGUUUAUAGCAGCUGGAGGUGAACACAUGUGUGUGAGUAGCAGCUUCCUGUCAAAACAAAGAUAACCUCAGAGUGGGAAGGGGGUAGUAACCUCAACAACACAGACUUCAGCCUGUGAGUAUGGCUGGUUGUAAUUCAAAAGUGAAGGUCAUGCAUAUCAAGUACAGCAGAGUUUUGAUUUUAAGAUUAGACUAAAUUGACACAAUUUAUAAAGGGUGCAUAGUCCUUUAAAAACAAAAGUGGAUUUUGUGUGAUACAGACCCUAAGGCCCUUCACUUUGCACUGAGCACUAAUAGCCCAAAGCUGCUACCUUCUUGUGGUUUCCUACUGAAGAGUGCUGUCUUCCGCAAGACCCGAUACAUCCUACCCAACUAGAUACAGGUUGAAAGUCAGUCUCAUCAUUCAAUCCUUCUGGAGACAAGAUUUAUAUCUAAAUAUCUAUAUAUCCCAAGUUUAGUCACAGCUUUAAUUAUUCUUUCUAUAUUAGAUUUCACAACUUCUCACUCCGAGGUCUCUAGCUCAGGUUAGUUUAUUCUUGAUGCUCAUUUCCCAAACACAUGGACUGUACUCCAUACCCCAUCAAGUGAAGCAUAAGACAUUGUCAAUCAACUGUGAAGGAUUAGCAUAAAAUAUAAACAAGUAAUUAUAUGUGUAUGAGGGACCAAAAGAAACAACAGAGCGUUGGGAGUAGCAUAUUUAUAUUUAACCAAGAAGUUAAAUAUUCUGUCUACAAAAUAAAAAGAAAAAAGUCAGGUAAUAUAGCUGAAUCUCUUAGCAGCUUUCCAUAUAGAAGCCAUGGUAAUAGAUCUAUGGAUCAAUCAUGGAAAUUCAAAAAAGAAAAAGAAAAGUGUAAAUGCAUUGUGAUUAAUAAUGAAAAAAGCUAAAUGUCAUUGUUUUCUGACUAAAGUAAAAGCUGGUGUCCAUUCCUGAUACCAUCAAUACACUUGUGAAAAAAAAGUCAAUACAUACACAAUCCAAAGAUUUUCUUUCCAUUCCAUUUGAGUCUGAGAGUUAUUUAAUUUGAACUGAGCUGCCCUCAGUGUCCUUAAAAGCUAUAAAUUUUGUUAUUUACUUCAAUUUCUUCAAGAUAAAACAUAUUAGAGUCUAAAGGUUACUUUAGAGGCAAAUUAAAAAGAUCUCAAUAACAUAUAUAAAGGUAUGCUUAUAUGUUUGUGUGUGCAUAUGUAUGCUGUGUGUUGUCUACAUAGACCUUAUCACCUCAGGUGGGGG